UCUCCUGGAAAACGGGUGGUAAUGCCGGAUGUUCCACAUGAUCGCAUGUGAUUGUGGGAAAGAUUCUAUCGGCGUGGGAUGGGGUCGCGUCCUAUCAGCUUGUUGGUGAGGUAACGGCUCACCAAGGCUUCGACGGGUAGCCGGCCUGAGAGGGCGACCGGCCACAUUGGGACUGAGAUACGGCCCAGACUCCUACGGGAGGCAGCAGUGGGGAAUAUUGCACAAUGGGCGCAAGCCUGAUGCAGCGACGCCGCGUGAGGGAUGGAGGCCUUCGGGUUGUAAACCUCUUUUGUUUGGGAGCAAGCCUUCGGGUGAGUGUACCUUUCGAAUAAGCGCCGGCUAACUACGUGCCAGCAGCCGCGGUAAUACGUAGGGCGCAAGCGUUAUCCGGAUUUAUUGGGCGUAAAGGGCUCGUAGGCGGCUCGUCGCGUCCGGUGUGAAAGUCCAUCGCUUAACGGUGGAUCUGCGCCGGGUACGGGCGGGCUGGAGUGCGGUAGGGGAGACUGGAAUUCCCGGUGUAACGGUGGAAUGUGUAGAUAUCGGAAAGAACA
This 551-nucleotide ribosomal RNA is filed under the name Bifidobacterium bifidum. RNAcentral's name for it is "bacterial SSU rRNA". It matches the Rfam family "Bacterial small subunit ribosomal RNA", at positions 146 to 708 of the family's 1533-position model. Lineage: Bacteria; Bacillati; Actinomycetota; Actinomycetes; Bifidobacteriales; Bifidobacteriaceae. RNAcentral also lists the same sequence under 1 other name. The record is from RNAcentral.